This 406-nucleotide ribosomal RNA is filed under the name uncultured bacterium. Its description in RNAcentral is "partial 16S ribosomal RNA". It matches the Rfam family "Bacterial small subunit ribosomal RNA", at positions 29 to 526 of the family's 1533-position model. The record is from RNAcentral.
AUUGAACGCUGGCGGCAGGCCUAACACAUGCAAGUCGAGCGAGCGGCGGACGGGUGAGUAAUGUCUGGGAAACUGCCUGAUGUCGGGGGAUCACUACUGGAAACGGUAGCUAAUAACGCAUACCAUCAGAUGUGCCCAGAUGGGAGUCGCUAGGCGGUGGGGUAACGGCUCACCUAGGCGACGAUCCCUAGCUGGUCUGAGAGGAUGACCAGGCAGACUGGCACUGAGACACGGUCCAGACGCCUACGGGAGGCAGCAGUGGGGAAUAUUGCACAAUGGGCGCAAGCCGGAUGCAGCCAUGCCGCGUGUGUGAAGAAGGCCUUCGGGUUGUAAAGCACGUUCAGCGGGGAGUCGUUACCCGCAGAAGAAGCACCGGCUAACUCCGUGCAAGCAGCCGCGGUAAUAC